GUAAGAUGGCGGCGCGGGGGGCGGCCUGGCGGGGCGGUCACGUGGUGAGGAGUAGCGCGCGAGCCUCCUUAAGUGAUCUCUAAGGUUCAAGAGAUUCUCCUGCCUCAGCCUCCCAAGUAAUUGGAAUUACAGGCCCAUGCCACCCCACCCGGCCAAUUUUUUUUGUAUUUUUAGUAGAGAUGGGGUUUUGCCAUGUUGGCCAGGCUGGUCUCAAACUCCUGACCUCAAGUGAUCCGCCAGCCUCGGCCUCCCAAAGUGCUGGGAUUACAGGCACGAGCCACCAUGCCGGACCUAUUAGUGUAUUUACUGGAUAUCAAGAUGACUAAGAAAUAGCACUUGCCUUGAAGGAGCUUUUCUAUUUGAGGAAAAAGACAUGUAUAUAAAUAACUGCAAACAGAAUGAAACAAGUGUUAUGUAGAUCUACAUACAGUGACAUGCCAUGGGAAUGCUGAACACUGAGCAACAGUUUCAACUAGCGAAUUGGCACAGGAAACAUGAAAAAUAAGCGUAUUUUCAAUAUGACAAGAAUGGUCAUUUCUGGAUAUAAGAACAAGAGAAAAGUCAUGGGUAUAUGGAAAGGCAUGGACUCUUCAAGGAAGAGCAAGUAGUCUAAUGUAGAUGCUGUAUAGGAAUCUGGGGACAAAGGGACAGAUAAGUGGUGUAGACAAAGAGGCUGGAAAUAGGGUUAUGGGCUAGAUCAUGAGUGACCUGUAAGCAUUAGGAGUUUUGAUUUAUUUUGGAAUAAGAAACAUUUAUGGCUUUUGAGAAGGAAAAUUACACAAGGGAAAAGAAAGGAUUUUUAUUUUUUAUUUUUAUUUUUGGAGAGAUGAGAUCUCACUAUGUUGCCCAGGCUGGUCUUGAACUCCUGAACUCAAGCAAUCCUCCCGGCUCGGCCUCUGAAACUUCUAGGAUUAUAGGCGUGAGCCACUACGCCCAGCCAGGAUUAUGUUUUUUUAUGGGAGGGAUGAGAAUAUUGGUAGGUGGGUAGAGGAUAAAUGAGAGAGAAUAUGUAUAUGUGAGAUUGAAUAUAUAAUAGAAAAAAUUGAUAGGACAAGUCCUGCGUUAUUACUACAUUUUAUGAGGAAAAUCUAUAUAUUAGAAGCACUUUAAAGGUAUAUUUGCUAUUCUAGCUGUGGAAACCAUCUGAAAACACAUUUGAAAGUGCUUUGAAACAGGGGUCAACUUCUCUGCAAAGGGCCAGAGUAUGUUUAGCUUUGCGGGCCACAGAUGGCCUCUGUUGCAUAUGCUGCUGGGUCUCCACCUUCCUCCUCCUUUUCUUCCCUUCCUCUUCCUUCUUUUUCUUCUUCUCUUUCUUCUUUCUCUUUAAAAGCAUAAAAUCAUUCUCAGCUCUUGGGCCAUACAGAAACAGGCCAUAGGCCAGAUUUGACUUCUAGGCCAUAGUUUGCCGACCCUCCAUUUUAGAACUUAGCUUUCCUGAAAGAGCAUUUGGGUCUCUCUCUCUCUUUCCCUUUCUCUCUCUCUGUCUCUCUCUCUCUCUCUUUCAGUAAGUGAAGUAAGAAAUAGGUCUUUCUUGAGGAACAAAAAGCUGAAAUAAUUUCAUGCAUUUGAAUAUGACCCUUGACCUGUUUUUGUCCAUCAUCACUCAGAUUUGUGGCUGCAACCACCAACCAAUUUGGUGCCAUAGGAUAUAGCAUAAUUUUUCAGCAACAGUUCAUAAGCUUUUCUUUUUGUUCUUUUUCCUUCUUCCAGUUGUGGUGGUUUAAAAACAUGUCUGCAAAAUCUUUGACACUUCUCAGUAAAAAAUAUAGUCUUGUGUUCCCUUUUCUUGAACCUAAGUGGCCUUUGUGCUGCCUCAACAAAUAGAAUAUGACAGAAAAGACACUAUGUGACUUUUGAGACAGGGUCAUAAGAGGUGAUACAGCUUCCCCAUGCCCCUGCAUUUUAGAGCUCUGGGUUGCCAUGUAAGAAUAGCUACCCUGAAGCUACCAUGCUGAAGAGACCACAGGGAAAUCACAUAGAGUUAGAAAGAGGUGUCUGAAGAAGCCCAGCUGCUCCCAAUCCCAGCUAUUUAAGUCCUCCCAGACCAGGUGCCAUAUAUAUGAGUGAGCAAGCCUUCAGAUGGUUCCAGCACCAGCCACCAUCUAGCUGUAAGCUCAUGAGACCCCUUCAACGAAAACCAUCUAGAUUAGCUUAGUCAAGCCCCAGAACCGUGAAAGACAAUAGACUUGCUAUGGAGGUCGCCACAUGCCUCUUUUUUCUCCCUUUGUGAAUGGGAUUAUUUAUAAUGGUUACCCCAUACCUACUCCACUAUGUAUAUUGGGUAUGAGGGAGAGAUAAUUUGUCUCACUAGCUGACAGAUUUUUCAGACCUCAAGGAAUGCCACGUGAGCUGUACUCACAGGACCACACACAAGUAUCUUUAUCCACACGUGACCUGAUUUCACUGAUAAAGUCCUGGACCUUGAGCCUGAGCCCAAUGUCUUAAUAAAUGAGAAUUUCAGAAGGUCUUGGGAGGGGGUGAGUAUAUUUUGCAUGUGGGAAGGAUGUAAAUAAUAUGUGGCCUGAGAGCAGAUUAUGGUGGUUUGAAAAUGUGUCCACCAAUUCUUUAAUACUACUCUCAACAAGAGGUGGAAUCUGUGUCUCUUCCUUUGGAACAUGAGUGGACCUUUGUGAUUAAAUGCAGCAGAAGGAUGCUGUGUGAACUCUGAGACAGGGUAAUAAGGGGUGAUACAGCUGCCACCUAGUUCUUUCUCAGAACAUGUGCCUUUGGAGCCCUGAGCUGCCAUGGAAGAAAACCACCUACCCUGAAGCCACAACACUGGAAAGACCAUGUGGAAGAACCACAGAGAGAGAGAAGAGGACCAAAUGUGUGAGCCUUCCCAGCCCAGGCUCCAAAUAUGCAAGUAGUAAGCCUUCAUUUCUUUUUGGUUUUAAUUUUUUUUUUUAAAUAAAUCGAAAUGGGUUCUCACUAUGUUGCCCAGGCUGGUCUUGAACUCCUAAGCUCAAGUAAUCCUCCUACCUCAGUCUCCCAAAGUGCUGGAAUUGUAGGCAUGAGCCACCAUGCCCGGCUGCAAUUAGUAAGUCUUCAGAUGCUUCCAUCACCAGCCACCAUCCGAUGACAACCCCAUGAAUGACCCUCAGCAAGAACUACCUAGCUGAAUCCAGCCAAACUCCAGACCCAUGAGAGAGAAAUAAAAUUGUUGUUUGAGUCACUAAAUACGGAGUAAUUUAUAUUAUCAACAGAUAACUGGAACCACAAGUGUAAUUGUUAAAGGUAAAACUUUGAAUACAUUUAUAUUUGCCUUCUGCCACAUUCCAUAAUUGACUUUUGUUCAUGAACCUAUUGGCAAGUUUGCCUUAUUGCUUUUCCUUCUUCCCUCUUUUUUUUUUUUGUAACUUAAAAAAUCAUAUAAUAAAACAACACAAAAAUGUAUUUGAAUGUAGGUUGAGUGACCGUAAAUAAGCACAAAACUUCUCCUUCCUGUGACUCUCUUGUCUGUAUAUGCCAAGUAUCUAACACAAGGCCUGCCUGGCACAUAAUUUUUUUUUUUAAAUGUUAGUCUCUUUUAUCAUUCUUUUUCCCUGUCAGUGGUAUUAUCUUUACCCAUGGAAUCCAGCACCCUCAUGCUGACUUAUAGUUCCCCAAAGUCCCUAACCUCUACAGUCCUCUCCAACCCCCACCCCAGGCCUCUCUCUAUGUUCCAGACAUUUUCUGGCUUUUUACCAUUAUCCAAACUCUGAACUUAUCUACUUAGUUUUUAUAAAAAAACACAGAGUGACUACAUAGCUAAUAUAAAUAAUGCCAGUGUUAACACAAAAAUUUGACUUGAAUGAUUACAAUAGCAAACUUCAAUGUUUACCCCAUGGAAUAGGCAGAAAAUUUCAAGCACUUUUCUAGGCCACCUGAGUCUAUUUUGAGUAAGGAUCCUUAAGUUGAUACUCAAGUAAUGACAUUGAUGCAAUGUAGAAGACUAUGCUAAAAUUUGUCCUGGCUUCUCUCCAUGCUAUGGGCCAUCUGUAAAGCUUUGGAGUCUAGGUCAGAUGUAUGCGUUGUCUCCUCUUUGCUACCAUUUUUGUACAGAUUUCUAAUCUAAAUAAAAUUAAUGGCAAUAACAGUGUGGAAAGGGAAAGCCUAAAAGAAAGAGGGUUUUUGAAGAGUGGGGGACCAGAAAAGAAGAGGACAAUUUUACCUGAAUUGUUUUACUUUAGAAAAUAAAUUUGUUCAUGUGAUUCUGUGAGUCAAUUUACACAUGUAUAUAAAUACACAUUUCUUUAUUUAACCAUUAUUAUUAUCACUAUGUGAUCCCUCAAUGUGCUGGCUACCACGGGUGUAAGAUAAAUUACAGAAACUCCUUAUUCUGAAGGAUUCCAACAACAAUUUGGCAUUGUGCACUGUAUGGGGCCUGGGAAAAUCCUCUGAUUUGCCAUACCUUAGGAAAGGUCUUUGCAUGAUACUAGGCCAUGUCUCUUACUACAAUGAUGAGCAUUCUUAGAUUUAAAAAUAAUACCAAGCUGUCAGGAAAACUGAAUUCCAUCAAUAAUAACAUCUUUUCAUAAACUGAAAGCUUGCAAAGCCUUAAUUAAAAAAAUGAAUUUAUUACUAAGUGAAUUUAAUUCACAAAAGGAAUUUUCCCCAAUAUUUAGGCUGUUGUUGGUUUUGGCUUUGUUUUUAAUUAACAUUUUUAGUUGUAUGGUUUGAUCAAAUACUGAAUUUGAGUUCAAAGAUACAUUUCCUCUGAGGAUGCAGUCUAAAGAGGCCAAGUAAAUAAUAGAAAAUCAUAGUUUCCAAGUUUCGCAGAACAAAGCUCAGUAGUUCCAUGACUUUUUCAGUGUUCUACAGAAUUGAGCUACUCCCUCUUACACAAAAAAGUGCUCUAAUUUUCAUUUUUUUCUUCUUUGCUCAGUUUCUUCAUUUAUUUGCCUACUUUCUUAAUUUCUUCCUAAGUAAAUAUAUAGCUAUCUUUGAGGAGAAGUGAUGUAACAUCAGAAACAAAGAGUAGACUCACAAUUAGAGCCCACUGACUCAUGGGACUUUAGAUAAACCACUAAUCAGGAAACUGGGGGUGUUAAUGCUGUUUAGUUAGUUGAUUGAGGAGGUGAGGACAAAACCUGGUGACUUCAGGGCCUCAGCAACAGAACUCCUACCUAUUUCCAUUGCUACCACUUACCUUAUGGGCAUUAGAUAAUUCUGCAGUGAGUUAUUCUGUGCAUGAGGGGGCAAAGGCUUUAGAGUCAGGUAGCUGGGGAGUUAUUUUCUCUCUCUGCUAUUUAAUAGCUGUAUGACCUCAGGUGAAUUUCUUAAUCUCCGUUUCCUUGUUUGUAAUACCCAUCAUGAGAAGUUGUUCUGAGGAUCACAGAUACUAUACCUAAAGUACCCAACAAAGUCCUGACACAAGGAAGGUGUUCCAUAAACGGUAGCUAUUUGAAGUAGUCUAAAAGGUCCCUUUCAAAUGUUUAAUACACCCAUAUAAUCCCAAUCUUAAUCUCUCACUCUCUUGUUGGCCCAUCAUUAGAGCACCAGAUCCCCUUGACUGCUUUCCAGGGUAAGGAUGCAAGACCACUGAGAACUGUGCCGCGCUGGUAAGAAGAGGUGCUGAUGGCAUGCUGUUGCCUCUGCCAGACAGACUCUGUCUUUGCUGAAGUGUUUAGUAUUGCUAUUGUGGCAAAUGCCAUUUUAGUCAAAGGCAAUAAAUCUUCCUUUGUUUAAAUGACAGAUGGCUAGGAUUGUUACUUCUGUUUCUAGCAAACCCAGAAAGGGAAAAAAUAAAUUACUGACAUUCAGAGUUCUUGUUUUUUAAGAAUAUUAGGGGGAAAAUGAAAAUAGUAUAGUUUCAGCAAAGUUAUAUAGUUUUUGCAGUCAACAGAAUAAUGGGCCCCCUAAUGAUGUUCACGUCCUAACCCCUAGAAUCUAUGAAUAUGUUAGGUUACAGGGCAAAGGGGAAUUAAGAGUGCAGGUGGAAUUAAGAUUAAUUAGCUGACCUUAAGAUAGGGAAUGUAGCAUAAUUUAUCCAGGUGAGCCCAAUAUAAUCACAAUGGAAGACAGAGACAGAAGAAUCAGAGUCAGAGAAGACGUGGCUACAGAGGAGAGAGUGAUGAGAUGUGAGGAUUCUGCCUGCCAUUGCUGGCUUUCAAGAUGAAGGAAGGGGGCCAUGAACCAAGGGGAUGCCUCUAGAAGCUGGAAAAGGUAAGGAAACAGAUUCUCACCUAGACUUCCAGAAAGCUCUGCUGUUGCCUUGAUUUUAGCCUAGUGAGACCCAUUUCAGACUUCCGACCUCCAGUACGUGAAGAUAAUACAUUUGUGUUGUUUUAACCUAUUAAGUUCUAAAAUGGUGAACCCAAUUUCAUUUCUUCUCUCCCUUUACAAGGUAGGUGCUAUUAACAGUGAAAUGACAAUGCAAAAGCAAAGCAGAGGAAAGCACCAGCAAAGGACAUGCCUCGCUGACUGCAGAUUACAGUGUCCUCUACUCAAUUCCUAUCUUAAUAUGUAUCACAUGCCCUGCCUGAGAUAAUGAGGACUCUCCCAUUCCCUCAGUCUUCAGGUUGCCUCUACUUCUCUUCCAUUUUCUUUUUCCUUGAUAUGAUCCUCUUCUUUCUCAUUCUUCUCUUCUUUCAUUUCCUGAGUUGUUUUCUCUCCACUUCUUCCCCCUCUACUCUGAUAGGAAAUAUUAUAGCAGUAGCCCAAGCUAGAAGAAAAAGGACACACCUACCAGCUCCCUCCCUCCCUCACAACACCUACACGGCUGCUGGGGAAGCCUUGAAUGAAAGCUAGAAAAGAACAAAUAGGAAAAGAGGCAUUUGAAAACAGAACAGAAAUAGUCACAGACGGGUGACAGGCAGGAGAUGCCACCUCAUUGACAGCUGCCACCAUUUUCCAUAGAGAAGUUAUUCCAUUGUAGUAUACACCAGGGCUGGGUUUAAAUAUUUUUCCUAUGUACUUGGUAGUAUAGUGGAAGCUCCUCCAUUUCUCUAAAUAGUUAACUGCAUACUUAGAGCUCUUGGUAGCGUUUAGAACACGGAGUUAAUUAUUCUGAGUGUACCUAGCCCCAUCACUGUCUGUAAUCUGUACAAAAUUUGAUAAGCCCUUUUAAGGUAGUUAGAUAUUUAUUGAGACUCUGCUGUAUAUUUGGCAGUGCCCCAGAUAUAGGUAGUGGUGGUGACAGCAAGCAAUAGGACCAGUGGAGCCUGCUUUUUAAUAGAGAGUGAUCUCUCUGGUAUUGUUGUAAGUACAGCAUAUAAGCAACUUGAGGUGUUGUCUUAAAGAUGUGAGCUCACCUAAUUUACACAAGAGCAUCAAAGCCAGAAUUCCUCCCCUUGCUGAUGUUAGCCUGUAACUCUGUGCCUCUCAAGUGUAUAACUUCUUCUGUGGGAAUCAUGCUUCUGAAGCAUGAGGAAAGAACACACCCGUGUUUCCACUUUCUCUGCUGCUUUGCAUGUGAUCCCUCCAGGUAUGCAAAAUAAUGCCUCAAUAUCAUUUUGACCUGUGUUGUCAUUUUACAUAUUUUAUCAGAAGACUUCAUAUCGGAUGGAAGCAAAUCUUUAGAAGGGUUGUUAUAACAACUUGAACAGCCCAUCAUGCUCUAGGCAUGCUCCCUAUCACGGCUAUGUUUUCAUUCAUUAGAGAUGGAGGAGGAGGCGGCUUAAAAUGUGUAAUUCUAAUCACCUAUUCCUACAGCUCUCUAACUGGUCUCCGUGGCUUCUCUUGCCUUCCUCCAGUCUUGCCCGUGAACCUUGAUUAGAGGACAACACAACACUAACAGCCACUCCUCCCUCUCCCUCCUGACUCCUUAUUUGAGUUAGAGGCUCUCGUAACACCUGCGUCUUCCCCUUUGUCAGCAGUCAUCACAACGAAUUGUGAUUGCCUAUUUACUCAUCUGCAUCUCCCACUGAAUUCUGAUCCAUGGUGGCUGGCCCAUGCCUGUCUUGUGUACAUUUGCAUGUAAACCACUUAACCCAAGUGCCAGGAAGCAAACAGUACACGCAGGUGUGUGGAGUGAUUGAAAGCUAAUUUGCUACCUAAGAAUGUACAGUGAUUCCUCAGUGUUUAUUAGAUCAGGCCCAGACUCUUCAUUUCAGUUUUCAACUCCUCUGAUUUUUCUUUUAUACAAGCUUUCAGAUCUCCUCUUGGUUCUCAUCUAGCUCUUGCAUCUUUAUGCCGUGGGUUGAUUCCUCUGCCUGCCUAUCUGUAGUAGCUUGUCUCCUAGGAUGGCUGCCAUCAAUUUCUUCUCUUCUGUAUACACAUGCCACUCCCGCAUUGAGAGAUGGAGUCUUCUUUCCCCCUGGAAUCUGGUCUGGCCUGUGACUAAUUUCAAUAAUAGAAUCUUGCAUUUCUAUUGAAACUACCAAAAAAAAAAAAUUGUGUCAGCUACUACAGCUACUAAGUUUUGGGAUGGUUUGUUAUAUGGCAAUAGAUAUCCUCAAUACCAUUCUUCAAAGUCCCAAACCUACAUUUUCUGUGAAGCCUUACCUUGCUAGUCUAGUUAACACUGAUCUCCUCCUUCUCUGAAGUUCUGUGGGAAUAGAACUUUGUUGAUGCCACACAUUUUGUUAUCCAACUGUAUGUAUUAUUACUUUUCCUUUCCUGAAUGCCAGUAUGAACUCCAUGACCAAAUUAUAUGGUCUUUGAAGAUACCAAAUAGUGGAAAUAGGUCUUUUGUAAUCCCUUCAACAAGUCCUAGUACUGAAUAAAAAUGUAAUGGCUGUUGAAUUGGAUUAAAAGUAAAAAUAUUCUUGGCC
RNAcentral lists this long non-coding RNA (8693 nucleotides) under Homo sapiens (human). Its description in RNAcentral is "MIRLET7I host gene (MIRLET7IHG)". The record is from RNAcentral. Lineage: Eukaryota; Metazoa; Chordata; Mammalia; Primates; Hominidae.